This is a non-coding RNA of Thamnophis sirtalis, 1413 nucleotides long. The record is from RefSeq and is a predicted model, not a curated record. Lineage: Eukaryota; Metazoa; Chordata; Lepidosauria; Squamata; Natricidae.
AGGUUGUGGUGUUCUUAUUCCCAGCCUUCGUUCCUGGAGUCCCUUUGACCGGAGGCCUGGAGGCCACAUUAUUCUGCUCUACGGUACCAGAAAGAACCAUGAACCGAAGGAUGUUGCCUCCUUUGGGAGAUUCUUUGUGCUUGAAUCGGCUGUGGAACCCAAAUCUCCUUAUUCUCUCCUAGAGGGCAAAGGGAACGAUAUCGAUAAGCUAAUAGAGUGAGGACACGGUCGACCUUUGCGGGUCAUCUAGUCUAACCCUCUGCCCUAGCAGACCCUACACCAUUUUUGACAGAUGGCAGCCCAGUCUCUACAAAGUCACAGAGGUGGGGAAAAAAAACACCCCCGGAGCAGCUAGCCGAGGCAGAUCCCUUCCCCUCAAGAGCCUGAUCUGCUUCUGAACCCACCCAUCCUUCCUCCCUGGCUGAGCCCAAGUAAGAGAAACAAGGUUUGCUGGAGGCUGAGCUGGCAUUUUUGUCCACCCUGCGAGCCUUUCCCAAGGACCCGAGAUAGGCGGACGUAACCUUUUGAUGGUGUUAGAAAGAGAUAUAUCCUCGCUCGCAGGAGGUGACUGUCCCAACAAGUAAAGCUUCCUUUUGUCACCAUCCUCACAAUCCUCCUACCCUGAGGGAAAUGGUAGCCCUUCCUCCUCCCCUCCUCCCCCAGUGCCACGUGAGGCAGAAGCCUUAAUCACCGACCUAUUUAAAAUAUGAGCAGCUUGCCUUGCAAGGCUGACUGCCGUAUACCGAAUGGGAGGAUUCAGAUGAGAAAAUGAAAGAUCUCUUCUGGGUUUUAUUUGGAACAAGGCGGUUCAACUGCAUUUUACUUGCUGCACCCCCUCGAUUCAAUGCACGGCUUAGAAAUAGGAAAUAUAAAUCAAUGGAUGGAAUUUUGCAGAUGGCCUUCUCCACUCUAGCCAGGCAGCCAUCAUGGCCGUAAUGAAGGAAGCAGAAAUGGGUGGUUUUUAAAAAAGGAACGCGGGAUCAUUUUAACAGGCAGCCCCAAACAGAAAGCCUGGAUGAGGGGAAGUCAGCAGGUGUUUUAACCAAGGGGCCUUUUCUCAGUGCUGAGUUUAAAAACCUCUCCAUCUCUUUAAGAGGUGGGGUCAAAUUACACACUCACUCACUCACACACACACACCUGGAAAAUUGCUCUGCGGCUUUUACUGUGCCUGCUCUGACUCACUGUGGAUUGUGCUCUUCUGAUAAGGUAUAUACUAUACAGCAUAUGGACAAAUCAGCUGGUGGAUUGUUUUUUUUUCCCCCGCCUUUGUGACUCUCCCUGUCUGUCACCAGAAAAACCUCUGUCAAUCACAGGGCUGCAGCACACAGGAGGGGGGUGUCUCAUUGGGGUCACGGGAGGCUGUCUGUCCCAUUGAGGCUGCCCCCCUCUUUUCCUAUUCUGUCAUCAUAGGUU